CGCCUGUAAGACGUAUUAUGAGACGGUACGCAGGAGCUUUAGAUAUACGCAGCCAGAGAACUCAUUGCUGGCGGACGCUGCCAAGAAUUCAUCUCGGAGUCGAGCGAGAAGAAAGAGGCUGCUGGAAUCGAGGCUGAAGAUGGCGUCAUUGGCGGGGUCUCUGGAUGGAUUGUACGGCCGCCGUCAUUUCGUAGGCCGGAUCUCUCUGAACUCUGUGUGAAGCUGCAGUUCCGGUUAGAGGCGACGCCGAAGUACAGAGCCACGGACAGUAGGCGUCUGCACAACGGACCUGCCUCGGAAAGAACGUAGUUUUUGGAUACCCAUGUGUGGGCAGAUCCUCGCGUUGUAUAUAGUUGUGUUUGUUUUAAUAAAGCUCUUUCUUUGCAUAAACA
This is a long non-coding RNA of Fundulus heteroclitus (mummichog), 392 nucleotides long. RefSeq lists it as uncharacterized. The record is from RefSeq and is a predicted model, not a curated record. NCBI's taxonomy places the organism in Eukaryota, Metazoa, Chordata, Actinopteri, Cyprinodontiformes, Fundulidae. The transcript is spliced from 2 exons.